UACGUAGGGGGCGAGCGUUGUCCGGAUUUAUUGGGCGUAAAGAGCGUGUAGGCGGUUCGGUAAGUCUGUCGUGAAAUCCUGAGGCUCAACCUCGGACGUGUGAUGGAUACUGCCGGGCUAGAGGAUGGUAGAGGCGAGUGGAAUUCCCGGUGUAGCGGUGAAAUGCGCAGAUAUCGGGAGGAACACCAGUAGCGAAGGCGGCUCGCUGGGCCAUUCCUGACGCUGAGACGCGAAAGCUAGGGGAGCGAACAGG
RNAcentral lists this ribosomal RNA (253 nucleotides) under uncultured bacterium. Its description in RNAcentral is "partial 16S ribosomal RNA". It matches the Rfam family "Bacterial small subunit ribosomal RNA", at positions 524 to 776 of the family's 1533-position model. The record is from RNAcentral.